Danio aesculapii is the source of this 709-nucleotide long non-coding RNA. RefSeq lists it as uncharacterized. The record is from RefSeq and is a predicted model, not a curated record. NCBI's taxonomy places the organism in Eukaryota, Metazoa, Chordata, Actinopteri, Cypriniformes, Danionidae. The transcript has 5 exons.
CACACACACACACACACACACACACACACACACUUGUCCCUCCUCCAGUUCUGUGUUCUUCAGCAAUCAGAGCGUCAGACUGAGAGACGCCUCAGUGUUUCAGCUGAAGCUCCACCAUGCGCCGUGUGGCUCUCCUGCUCCUCCUCAUUGGUCAGAUCUCUGCAGACUGUCAGCAGCAGAAGGCUCUUGAAGCGCGAAUGGACAGUGUGGAGAAGCGUGUGGAUCAGGCUGUGGAUCUGCUGGAGUCUGAAGUGGCUCUUCUUCUGCAGACUCUGGAUCAGAGCCCCCUGCUGGACACUCCUAAAGCUGACAUCCUGGAGGAGCCCCCCGCAACACACACCUGACCGCUAGACUUUCUGCAUGCACAAGAACAGAGCAGAACAGAGGAUUUUCUUCUGGCAUCCUGAAAAGCCAAAACAGGUUUUACUGAGUCGUUUUCCUCAUGUUAAAUUGAAUCGAGUCAUUUAUACUGUUUAAAUGAAAGUGAACUGCAUUGAUUACUAGCUUUGCUUCAUUCUGGUGAGACUUUUAUCUUGUAAUGUUGACGAUGGUCACAUGAUCAGUCACUGUAUGAAUAUGAACACAUGACCUAUAAUAGAGUGUUUACAUGGUCAUGUGACUCUAUCUGGAUUCUCAAUGCUUUGUUGUGUCCAGUAAAUGUGUCUUCUGUCCCAGCAUGCAUAGUGCUGUAAGGAGGACUUUUAUCUGU